Molecule: ribosomal RNA, 253 nt
Filed under: uncultured bacterium
Lineage: Bacteria
Description: partial 16S ribosomal RNA
Rfam family: Bacterial small subunit ribosomal RNA
Source: RNAcentral
UACGUAGGGGGCAAGCGUUGUCCGGAUUUAUUGGACGUAAAGAGCGUGUAGGCGGCCUGGUAGGUCAGCUGUGAAAACUCGAGGCUCAACCUCGAGACGCCGGUUGAAACCAUCAGGCUAGAGUCCGGAAGAGGAGAGUGGAAUUCCCGGUGUAGCGGUGAAAUGCGCAGAUAUCGGGAAGAACACCCGUGGCUAAGGCGGCUCUCUAGUACGGUACUGACGCUGAGACGCGAAAGCGUGGGGAGCGAACAGG